This 506-nucleotide ribosomal RNA is filed under the name uncultured bacterium. RNAcentral describes it as "partial 16S ribosomal RNA". It matches the Rfam family "Bacterial small subunit ribosomal RNA", at positions 29 to 523 of the family's 1533-position model. The record is from RNAcentral.
AGUGAACGCUGGCGGUAGGCCUAACACAUGCAAGUCGAACGGCAGCACAGAGGAGCUUGCUCCUUGGGGGGCGAGUGGCGGACGGGUGAGGAAUACAUCGGAAUCUACUCUGUCGUGGGGGAUAACGUAGGGAAACUUACGCUAAUACCGCAUACGACCUACGGGUGAAAGCAGGGGAUCUUCGGACCUUGCGCGAUUGAAUGAGCCGAUGUCGGAUUAGCUAGUUGGCGGGGUAAAGGCCCACCAAGGCGACGAUCCGUAGCUGGUCUGAGAGGAUGAUCAGCCACACUGGAACUGAGACACGGUCCAGACUCCUACGGGAGGCAGCAGUGGGGAAUAUUGGACAAUGGGCGCAAGCCUGAUCCAGCCAUACCGCGUGGGUGAAGAAGGCCUUCGGGUUGUAAAGCCCUUUUGUUGGGAAAGAAAUCCAUCUGGUUAAUACCCGGAUGGGAUGACGGUACCCAAAGAAUAAGCACCGGCUAACUUCGUGCCAGCAGCCGCCGCAG